Loxodonta africana (African savanna elephant) is the source of this 1089-nucleotide long non-coding RNA. RefSeq lists it as uncharacterized. The transcript is spliced from 2 exons. The record is from RefSeq and is a predicted model, not a curated record. NCBI's taxonomy places the organism in Eukaryota, Metazoa, Chordata, Mammalia, Proboscidea, Elephantidae.
CAGUUACUCCCGGAAGCGCCGGGACGGGUGGUGAGGGGCCCGGGCGGAAUGGCGCGCCUUAGAGCGGACGGUGUUCGUGCUGCUUUCCGUGCCGUGGUUUCUGAAAGGCGAGACGCCCCUCCUGUGCUGUCCUCAGAAGGGCUCUUCAGAGACCGCACCCCUAGUUUGCGGAGCAGCAGAGCCUGCCCCAGUCUGGACUAGGGACUUUAUUUCUUCCACUCUCACCACUGGCUGAAGGCAGACUCCUGUCUCCACAGACUAAAGAGGAAUUAUCAAAAUGAGCUCGAAACUCUAGAUUUGAGUUAAGUAUCAUAAAUUAACACAGAGAAAUACAACUUUAACACAAAGACCUGUUUGGAGCCCCAGGUGGAAUUAAAAAAAAAAAAAACUUGAACAGAGGGAGUGAUAAAGUUUUCCUUCUUUUGCCACCCUCUCUCGGUGGUCCCAAGCUUUCUCAUCUCCCACCUCACAAGACUGUAUCAACUGCUUUGAGACUUUUAGAAUAAAGAUCCCCAGGCAUAUCACUGCUGUUACCCUGUGAGGAUUUCCCCAGUGCUGGGUUAGACUAAGACAGAAUCCUUCCAAGGCUUCCAGGGCCAGUGUACUGGACGGUCAGCACAGGGAGCCUCAGAGCCCACUUCAUUUUUCCUGCAGUUGGGCACGACCCCAGGGACAUGACCCUUGAGAGUGCUGACACUUCCUGAAGCCAGUGACCCUCCCCCUGGGCUUCUCUCUGCCUGGGUCUCAGAGUCUCUGAGGCCAACUUGUACCCUCGGAAGUGUUUCUGCUGAAGGACACGUAAACAGCACUGUGGAUUUGUGUCCUGCAGUCUGCAAAACUGCCUCCCCUGAGUGGGGUGAGGAGCUACUGAAAUACUGAAAUCACUGAAACUAGCAGAAGCCACAGUUCAUGGUCCUGGGAGAAAACUGGGAAGGACGGAGAGGUGAAGAGGCUAUAAAGGCCCAGUCGUGAAGGCGACCAUGGGCCAGGAUGUCCGGAAGUCGCAAAGCUGACCAAUGCUGAGUGCCCUAAAACCUGCCACUCCUGUGCCCAUCUUUUCUUUCAAUGGACAAAGUCUUCCCCUGCUCU